AAGGAUUUAAGUUAAAAAAACUAACAACCUUCAAAGUUGUAAAUAGGAAACUUACCUAAGCCUUG
Molecule: transfer RNA, 65 nt
Filed under: Blaps rhynchoptera
Lineage: Eukaryota; Metazoa; Arthropoda; Insecta; Coleoptera; Tenebrionidae
Description: tRNA-Trp
Source: RNAcentral